RNAcentral lists this long non-coding RNA (481 nucleotides) under Rattus norvegicus (Norway rat). RNAcentral describes it as "long non-coding RNA NONRATT008234". Lineage: Eukaryota; Metazoa; Chordata; Mammalia; Rodentia; Muridae. The record is from RNAcentral.
CGGCGCUCUGGCUCCUCAGCCGCCUGCGAGCCCCGCGCCCAGCACCUCCGCUCGGGCGGCCCGGGAGCCCUGGUGAGUGGGCGCGGCCCUGACACGCGCCCUUUCCCUUCUGCCCUCAGCCGGGGACGCGGCCUUCCCCCAGCCCUGGUACCCCUUGGUCGGGAGGAGACGCGCUGGGGCGCUGCAGGCAGGCUUAGUGCUGCCUUCUCAGCUUCUCCUGCGCAGCUCCCGCCUGCCCCAGAGAAGGUUUAACCUGGAAGGAAAGAAUUCAGCCGAGAAACAGUUAAGGGGACAUUUAUUUAGCAGAGCUACACACUCCAAAGAUUGGAGUGGGCUUCCUCCGAAGCGCUUGAUGGGCGGCAUUAUGGCCCCUAAAGACAUAAUGACAAAUACUCACGCCAAGUCCAUCCUCAACUCAAUGAACUCCCUCAGGAAGAGCAAUACCCUCUGUGACGUGACCUUGAGAGUGGAGCAGAAAGAC